UACAGAGGGUGCAAGCGUUGUUCGGAAUUAUUGGGCGUAAAGGGAGUGUAGGCGGUCUGGUAAGUCUUCUGUGAAAUCUACGGGCUUAGCCUGUAACGUGCAGAGGAAACUACCAGGCUUGAGUGUCGGAGAGGAUAGGGGAAUUCCCGGUGUAGAGGUGAAAUGCGUAGAUAUCGUAAGGAAGACCAGUGGCGAAGGCGGGUCUCUGGACAGUUCCUGACGCUGAGGCACGAAGGUCAGGGGAGCAAACGGG
RNAcentral lists this ribosomal RNA (253 nucleotides) under uncultured bacterium. RNAcentral describes it as "partial 16S ribosomal RNA". It matches the Rfam family "Bacterial small subunit ribosomal RNA", at positions 524 to 776 of the family's 1533-position model. The record is from RNAcentral.